AUUGAACGCUGGCGGCAGGCCUAACACAUGCAAGUCGAGCGGAUGAAGGGAGCUUGCUCCUGGAUUCAGCGGCGGACGGGUGAGUAAUGCCUAGGAAUCUGCCUGGUAGUGGGGGAUAACGUCCGGAAACGGGCGCUAAUACCGCAUACGUCCUAAGGGAGAAAGUGGGGGAUCUUCGGACCUCACGCUAUCAGAUGAGCCUAGGUCGGAUUAGCUAGUUGGUGGGGUAAAGGCCUACCAAGGCGACGAUCCGUAACUGGUCUGAGAGGAUGAUCAGUCACACUGGAACUGAGACACGGUCCAGACUCCUACGGGAGGCAGCAGUGGGGAAUAUUGGACAAAGGGCGAAAGCCUGAUCCAGCCAUGCCGCGUGUGUGAAGAAGGUCUUCGGAUUGUAAAGCACUUUAAGUUGGGAGGAAGGGCAGUAAGUUAAUACCUUGCUGUUUUGACGUUACCAACAGAAUAAGCACCGGCUAACUUCGUG
RNAcentral lists this ribosomal RNA (484 nucleotides) under uncultured bacterium. Its description in RNAcentral is "partial 16S ribosomal RNA". It matches the Rfam family "Bacterial small subunit ribosomal RNA", at positions 30 to 507 of the family's 1533-position model. The record is from RNAcentral.